RNAcentral lists this ribosomal RNA (508 nucleotides) under uncultured bacterium. RNAcentral's name for it is "partial 16S ribosomal RNA". It matches the Rfam family "Bacterial small subunit ribosomal RNA", at positions 28 to 507 of the family's 1533-position model. The record is from RNAcentral.
GACGAACGCUGGCGGCGUGCCUAAUACAUGCAAGUCGAACGCUUCUUUCCUCCCGAGUGCUUGCACUCAAUUGGAAAGAGGAGUGGCGGACGGGUGAGUAACACGUGGGUAACCUACCCAUCAGAGGGGGAUAACACUUGGAAACAGGUGCUAAUACCGCAUAACAGUUUAUGCCGCAUGGCAUAAGAGUGAAAGGCGCUUUCGGGCGUCGCUGAUGGAUGGACCCGCGGUGCAUUAGCUAGUUGGUGAGGUAACGGCUCACCAAGGCCACGAUGCAUAGCCGACCUGAGAGGGUGAUCGGCCACACUGGGACUGAGACACGGCCCAGACUCCUACGGGAGGCAGCAGUAGGGAAUCUUCGGCAAUGGACGAAAGUCUGACCGAGCAACGCCGCGUGAGUGAAGAAGGUUUUCGGAUCGUAAAACUCUGUUGUUAGAGAAGAACAAGGACGUUAGUAACUGAACGUCCCCUGACGGUAUCUAACCAGAAAGACACGGCUAACUACGUG